UACGGAGGGUGCGAGCGUUAGUCGGAAUUACUGGGCGUAAAGCGCGCGUAGGUGGCUUGGUAAGUCGGAUGUGAAAGCCCCGGGCUUAACUUGGGAAUUGCAUUCGAUACUGCUUAACUAGAGUAUGGUAGAGGGAAGCGGAAUUCCGGGUGUAGCGGUGAAAUGCGUAGAUAUCCGGAGGAACAUCAGUGGCGAAGGCGGCUUCCUGGACCAAUACUGACGCUGAGGUGCGAAAGCGUGGGGAGCAAACAGG
This 253-nucleotide ribosomal RNA is filed under the name uncultured bacterium. RNAcentral's name for it is "partial 16S ribosomal RNA". It matches the Rfam family "Bacterial small subunit ribosomal RNA", at positions 524 to 776 of the family's 1533-position model. The record is from RNAcentral.